This is a long non-coding RNA of Felis catus (domestic cat), 1925 nucleotides long. RefSeq lists it as uncharacterized. The transcript is spliced from 4 exons. NCBI's taxonomy places the organism in Eukaryota, Metazoa, Chordata, Mammalia, Carnivora, Felidae. The record is from RefSeq and is a predicted model, not a curated record.
UGUUAGAAAUGCAAAUUCUCAGACUCCUCCCCAGACCUGCUGACUCAGAUAGCAGGGACGGAACCCGGAAAUGGGUUAUCGCACAAGCUCCCUGGGUAUCUCUGAUGCCCUGUAGUGUUUGAGAAGCACUGCUUUGAAGUUUGCAGCUACUCUCAAGUGCAUCUUAAGAAUUUUACCUCCAGUCUUAUGACGGCACAGAGAAGUCCUUUUUAAGAUGCCUAAAUGUGGAGAUGGUCCAGUGGAGUAUCUGCAUGUUGCUGAAUUGCAAAUAAUUUGUGCAAAGACCAGCACAUUUUCUACUUUGGCCUACUUUUUGAAAGCUGCAACUCCUGGGGAAGAAAGGAAAAAAAAAAGCUUGCUGGAAAAAUGAGCUAAUCCCACAGUUGCACUGAGAGGUAAGAGGAGUGUUUGGAAUUCAAACGAUGCCACGGAGGCAGUCCUCGUAUUUGCUGCGGAGAACUGAGCCCAGGAAGCCAACAGAGGGUCGGCAAUCAUAUAAUCAAGGCUAGCAGCAGAGGUCAUCGCAUCCAGACUAGGAGACACCGCUUCUCCCUGGGAUCGUCCAACUGUUCACGACGGGAGACACAGAAGACAGGGCAGGCGGACCUACGCACCUUGGCUCUUCAGGGGACACAGUGCAGUUGAGAGCAUUAUUCACUGACACUUCCAAGGGCUGUCACCCAGUGAGGGAAGAUAGUGGGUGAAAAAGUACCAUUUCCCAUCACAGAAGGUUCUAAGGCACGGAAGGUUCUUUCUCAAGACUUGAUUACUUCGCGUUAGUAAAGACCUCUUUUCCAAGCUCUCUCAAAACUUGAAACUAAAAUGAGGUCAGGGACAACUUUCACCAACUUUUCCACUCCGGUAUCGUAUGGGGCGUGGUGGGGGCUGUGACAACAGUGGAGUGUGCACAUGCAUACAGAAAUAGGUCCCUUUGAUGCGUUCAUCACUCAGCAGACGUUUAUUGGCCAUCAUCUACAUGUCAGGGGGUAUUUUAAUUGCUGCUUCUAUGGUCACAGAAACAGUCUCUGCCCUGAAAUGGCUUACGUUUUAGUAAGGGAUACAGACAAUAAAUAAUAUCUCAUAUAAUUCAAAGUGUCACUUAGCCUAAUAAAGUAAAAAAAAAAAGCAAAGCAUUAUAUAUACAUAUAAUGAGAUGCUUCUACCUUACACAGCACAGUCUGGCAAAGCUCUCUAAGGAGGUGCCCUUGAGUAGAGAUCUGAAUAAAGCGAAGGAACAAGAGCAUGCUGAGUGGGAAGGAAACAGACCCAACAGAAGAAAGCCUAAGUCCAAAGCGUUGGGAGGGAGAAGUGGGGGCUGGUGCUGAAUUUCCUCGGCCUCCUUCAGCAAUAGCAGGAAAGAGGUCCUUGUGGCUGGUGAGGGAGGGAAUGGGGAGGUGGAAGGAAAGACCUUAAGAUCACAUAAGGAGAGCCCUAAAUACCACGGAAAGACCACGCCAUGAUUGUACCAUGUACCUCUCCCACUUCUGCGGCCCUGAAGUUCCCUCUUGAGACCGUCUCCGAUGGUCCGGACCCUCACUGUUCCACUGCACUCCAGGGCCUUGACUCUCUUUGCCAGCCGUACUGAACUAUCUCAUGUACCCAGCUUCUCUGCUUCCCCCUUCCCCUCUGCACUUGGGACGCAAUAUCCUCAGCCUUGAACGCUUUUCUCCGAUGACCCCUCUGAGGAAACACACCUUUUGCAUCAGGCUCUCCCUGGCUCCCACUUGUCUUUACGCCCCUUCUAUUCCUAGCACAUCUAAUGGCUGCUUUGCAGUAAUUUGCUUGUCUGCAUUACUGCUUCCCACAUAAGAGAAUGAACUUUGUGUAGUCACAGACUGGGUCUUUGUCUUCAGAUUCCUGAUGUUUGGCACAAGGCCCCAUGCACGGGGGAAGAAAACAGUUAAAAUAAAUACUGAAUAAAUGAA